GUCGUGGUUCAAAUCAGCUAACGCAGAGAGCAGUGGUGUUUUCAAUUCUAAAAAUCGUUGAAACAUAAAAAAGAGCCAACCGUACUUCUUUUGAAGUAUUCAACAAUACUUUUCACUUUUUCCCUUGUGACAUUUAUUUCCUGCAAAGAUGAUUGGACAACAAGGUUAAGACUGUGAGCAAAGCAUGAUAUGUGUCUCCAAUCACACAAUUGAAUAGCUUUAGUAACAUUUGCAGCGUUAUCUGUUGUGCAUGCUGUCACUUUAUUUUAGGAAAUUUUGCACAUUGAAGGAGAUAAUAUUUUAAUUGACAUGACUUAUCUAUAAAAUGAACAGUCACUGCCAUAUAACUUUCAUUUUUCAAAGAUGUCCAUGCGUCAGUAGUUACAGAAACAUAUUGUGCAUUAACAGCUAUAUCUGAUUUAAUUUCAUCGGAAAUCUUGUUAUAUAGAACAGGAAGUAAUGAAACUGAAAGAGUCUUUUUAGAGGGAAGU
Molecule: long non-coding RNA, 491 nt
Organism: Metopolophium dirhodum (rose-grain aphid)
Lineage: Eukaryota; Metazoa; Arthropoda; Insecta; Hemiptera; Aphididae
Exons: 3
Source: RefSeq, a predicted model, not a curated record